GCCGACUUAGCUCAGUAGGUAGAGCAACUGACUUGUAAUCAGUAGGUCACCAGUUCGAUUCCG
Molecule: transfer RNA, 63 nt
Filed under: Vibrio cholerae HC-55A1
Lineage: Bacteria; Pseudomonadati; Pseudomonadota; Gammaproteobacteria; Vibrionales; Vibrionaceae
Description: partial tRNA-OTHER
Rfam family: tRNA
About the family: Transfer RNA (tRNA) molecules are approximately 80 nucleotides in length. Their secondary structure includes four short double-helical elements and three loops (D, anti-codon, and T loops).
Source: RNAcentral